RNAcentral lists this ribosomal RNA (459 nucleotides) under uncultured bacterium. Its description in RNAcentral is "partial 16S ribosomal RNA". It matches the Rfam family "Bacterial small subunit ribosomal RNA", at positions 338 to 795 of the family's 1533-position model. The record is from RNAcentral.
CCUACGGGCGGCAGCAGUGAGGAAUAUUGGUCAAUGGACGGAAGGCUGAACCAGCCAAGCCGCGUGAGGGAGGAAGGCGCAGAGCGUCGCAGACCGCUUUUGCCGGGGGACAAACGCCCGGACUCGUCCGUUCCUGAGGGUACCCGGCGAAAAAGCAUCGGCUAACUCCGUGCCAGCAGCCGCGGUAAUACGGAGGAUGCGAGCGUUAUCCGGAUUCAUUGGGUUUAAAGGGUGCGCAGGCGGGCCUUUAAGCCGGCGGUGAAAUCGCGGGGCUCAACUCCGCCGAGCCGUCGGAACUGGGGGGCUAGAGAGCGGCGGAGGCAUGCGGAAUGUGCGGUGUAGCGGUGAAAUGCAUAGAGAUCGCGCAGAACCCCGAUUGCGAAGGCAGCGUGCCGUGCCGCCACUGACGCUGAGGCACGAAAGCGCGGGGAUCGAACAGGAUUAGAUACCCCUGUAGUC